Molecule: long non-coding RNA, 241 nt
Filed under: Homo sapiens (human)
Lineage: Eukaryota; Metazoa; Chordata; Mammalia; Primates; Hominidae
Description: HSALNT0106347
Source: RNAcentral
CUUGACCUUUGGUUCCUUCUUGGAGAACUCUGUCUUCAGCUGCUUUCAGAGCGUUUGUAGGGUGCAACAGAAAGAAGGGGAAGAGGCUGCUGGGGGUGACAGGCUCAUCCAUGAGCAGGACCUGGAGUGGCUGCAGCAGGCGGACGUGGUCGUGGCAGAAGUGACACAGCCAUCCUUGGGUGUAGGCUAUGAGCUGGGCCGGGCCGUGGCCUUUAACAAGCGGAUCCUGUGCCUGUUCCGC